GAGACGAUGGGGGAGCUUCACCAAGGACCCCUUCUAACCAGUCAGGCGAGGAAACUGAGGCACAUGUUACUCAGGGGCUGCUUUCAAAGGAAGAGCUUCCAGUACGCCUCUCUGUAGACACCCACCUGGAGAGCUCCCAAGUUAAGUCGGACUGCCAUGGUCAGAGGAAAGCUGGCAGGAGUAAAAGGCGCUCACUGCUGCGAUCUGAAGCAUUAAACAGAGACCCGACAGCCAGGGCACAGAGGCAUGGCCUCCUUCGGUGAACAAAAAGGAAAUGUAGCAUUUCUCCUUCUACAUGGUGGCUUAUCCCACAGGGGCUUUGAAGAAAGCCUGAAUAAGGACGCACACUUAAGGAGUCAGGGACAGGGCUAUGUCUGUACAGUGUCCGCUGAGCAAGCCCAAGACCUGAGUUCGUACCCAGAAUCCAUGGGAAGAAAGCUGGAUGCGGUGGCCUGUCACAGUAAUUUCCACACCAGGCAUGGAGACGGAGAUAGAGGACUCCCAUUUCCACCUCCAACAGGGAGCCUAGCUUCAUCAGUAGGUUCCCGGCCGGCUGAGAGACCCUACACCCCAAAAACCAAGGUUACUUUUGGUCGUGGUGCUUUAACCAUAGCAACAGAAAACAGACUACGACAAGGCAAGUGGGUUGAGCGGCUGAGCAGUCUCUCCAGCUCCCUUCUUUACGUCAUACCUUAAUUAUAUGCUCACACAGCCGUGAACAACACACCGGGCUCUGCUGCACUGAUGAGACUCAUUACACAAACACACUACUACUCAUCCACCUACA
RNAcentral lists this long non-coding RNA (787 nucleotides) under Rattus norvegicus (Norway rat). RNAcentral describes it as "long non-coding RNA NONRATT007838". The record is from RNAcentral. Lineage: Eukaryota; Metazoa; Chordata; Mammalia; Rodentia; Muridae.